AUUGAACGCUGGCGGCAGGCUUAACACAUGCAAGUCGAGCGGGGUGAUGGUGCUUGCACUAUCACUUAGCGGCGGACGGGUGAAUAAUGCUUAGGAAUCUGCCUAUUAGUGGGGGACCACAUUCCGAAAGGAAUGCUAAUACCGCAUACGCCCUACGGGGGAAAGCAGGGGAUCUUCGGACCUUGCGCUAAUAGAUGAGCCUAAGUCAGAUUAGCUAGUUGGUGGGGUAAAGGCCUACCAAGGCGACGAUCUGUAGCGGGUCUGAGAGGAUGAUCCGCCACACUGGGACUGAGACACGGCCCAGACUCCUACGGGAGGCAGCAGUGGGGAAUAUUGGACAAUGGGCGAAAGCCUGAUCCAGCCAUGCCGCGUGUGUGAAGAAGGCCUUUUGGUUGUAAAGCACUUUAAGCGAGGAGGAGGCUACUGAGAUUAAUACUCUUGGAUAGUGGACGUUACUCGCAGAAUAAGCACCGGCUAACUCCGUGCCAGCAGCCGCGGUAA
This 501-nucleotide ribosomal RNA is filed under the name uncultured bacterium. RNAcentral describes it as "partial 16S ribosomal RNA". It matches the Rfam family "Bacterial small subunit ribosomal RNA", at positions 30 to 523 of the family's 1533-position model. The record is from RNAcentral.